ACGCUUGCUAUUUUCCCUCCUUUUUUUUGUUGCUCUGCCUCAGUCUUUUUCUCCACCCCUCCUUGUCCUCAACCCCCCCUACGCUGUGUGUCACCGCUGCCGGGAAGAAAGAAAAAUGCUCCGGCCGACAAAAGUGAGAGGAGAAAGGAGAAAACGGAGAAAAGAGUCAAAGAGAAGAAGAUAGCAAAAGCUGGAGCGUGUUUGGAGUGCAGCGAUGCCUCCAUCCACCUUGAGCCUGACUCUUCUUUGAGGGAAUAUCCCAGACAGUGGAGAGCAGAAGGAGGGAGAAGAAAAAGUAGAGGAGAAGAGGGACUGAAAGAAGAACAGAAGGACUGAGAAGGCAGGACAACCAGCGCUCGCCUCAGGAGGCUCCAUCCAGUCCGGUCUCAUUGUCCUCACACACAACUCGACUCCGAGUGUGAGCGUGCGCGUGUGUGUGCAUGAAUCUGUGUGAGGUUGGCGGGUGCAGCCGGUCAUUUCUACACCACAGCUUCAGCAGCGGAGCGCCGGGUUCCACUCUGAGGGUGCGUCAGACAGGCCAUGCCCUUCACCUGGGCCUGCUUCUGCGGCCUGAACGGGUCCUGCUGCAGACGACAGAAGAAGAAAAAAGAGCAAGUGGAGGAAAAGGAGGGUGAGGAGGUAGAACAGGUAGAACGAUGCAGGGAUCAGGAGACUGAGGUGUGAAUGUGGCGCAGGCAGCUGUGCUCUCCUCACCUUCACCAGGGUUUUAUCCUUUAACAGACCGGAAUGUGCAGCCCGGGUUACUGCUGCUUAGCACAGACUGUCUGACUGUCUCACUAUAACAGAGAUGCUAAAGGGGCUUCAUCAGGCUUUUAUUGAAAAUUAAGAAUUUAUAUUUGAACCGAUACUGCAUCUUUUCCAAUAGUACAUGUGACUAAGGCUUCAGGUUCCAUAAACUCAACUACUGUAAUACUGUAUCAGAAUGAUGAUAAUGAUCCCUAUUACCCAUCCCUGCUCACUCUCUUCUCUUGGCAGCUGACUGGGAACUUUGCUUCUGCUGAUGUUAUUCCAAAAACACAUUUCUUAUCAGUUUGAUUCAUUUAUUGCCAUAGCUGUACUGUAUAAGGCGUGCAGAGACUCUAGUCAACCAUUAUUUCUCUCAGUCACACUUCUCAACGAGGCCCCAUCUCUCCCCUCGCCUCCUUAAUCGCAGCUCCACGGACGCUGAAUCCUCACCUACCUGCUUAUGUCAGAUCAACUUAGUGAAAACUUCAGCCAAGUGAGAAAGUGUACAGUAAUUUCCAAAGUCACCCAUGGAGGGCUGGAGCCCAUCUCAGUUUUCACGCUGAGCUGGGCCCAAUCUAAAGCAGAGCAGCUGUCCAAUCAGCAGCUUAGCUGGAGUGUGAAGAUAGGAGUCAAGGGUCAGAAUGAGCAACAGGGUUUGUGAGAAGUCCCUCCUCUGAUGCCAUAGCAUCUCCGUCUCAUUAAUAGGCAGACAAGUAAUUACAAACACGCACACACACUGAUGCAGACCCAUCCAUUAAUGUCCUCCGGUGGGAGGGGAGAGUCUGUCCGUAAAUGCCACUGCGGUGCGCUUCCAGCUGUCACCUGUGUAAGUGUGUGACUCUGCAAGCAUGUCUGUGUUCUUGCGUUUCUUCUUGGCUGCAACAAUAGACUUUCAAAGCUGAAACAAGUGGUUAAGAGAUAUUUUCAGCUGCUAUGGAACUGCCUUUUCAGAAUGCACAUCGAGACACAAAGACACACACACACACACACACACGCAGGUCUCAUUAGCGCAUGUGAUUAUGCAUGGCACGUCCAGUCAGGCAGUGGAGAUGUAAUUAACCUUUUCCAGCAGGAAACAGAUGCCUGGAUGUCACACACAAACACACAAUGACAUACACACACAGACGCACACACACGUCUGCUGUCAGGGAAACAAAGCCAACGUCACGGUGUCACGGAAACAAAGACCCAAAAGCGCCGCCUGGCACUCUGUGAUAAUCCCCUCACGCAUAUUUACAUUCAGGGCUUAGAAUACGCCUCGGUGCCGCCGUCUCCACCCCACGCCUCCUCCGCCCAUCCUCCAUCUCCUCUUCGUCUACCUUUCGCCCUUCCGCCACAUUCACCCUUUUCCUUCCACUAUCUCUUCCUCUCCUCCAUCUAUUGCAUCUCUCCAGAAAGUCUCUACGUCGUGGGGUUCUUCGGUUUAUAAUCAGUGGAUAGUACAUGGCCUUGCAUGGCGUCUCCCACAGAUUAGCCCCCACUCUCUCUUUCACUGACUCUGAAUAUCACAGAUUUCUUCAGGCGGGCAAAAAGCUGCUUUACGACAGAUUAAUGGACGGCCCUGAUUGUGUCUGGUGGUGUGUGUGUGUGUGUGUGUGUGUCUGUGCCUGCAUGGAAUAGAUUGUCUGUUUACUCAUUCUCCCGCUACAAGCGGCGAAAUGAGACAAAGCUAAAGCCAUUUCACAGUGUAGAGCACCUAUUAUGAUUCACUGUGUUACGACGCAGCCCUAAUGAGAAAGCGAGAGAAUGAGAAGAGGGGUUGGAGGAGGAUAGGGGAGGAAGAGAGAAA
Molecule: long non-coding RNA, 2536 nt
Organism: Cottoperca gobio
Lineage: Eukaryota; Metazoa; Chordata; Actinopteri; Perciformes; Bovichtidae
Exons: 3
Source: RefSeq, a predicted model, not a curated record